GCCCCGGUAGCUCAGCUUGGAUACGUUGCCCAACUAGGCGCGUAGCGUAAAUAGAGCGACUGCCUCCUAAGCAGUAGGUCGCGGGUUCGAAUCCCGCCUGGGGCG
RNAcentral lists this transfer RNA (105 nucleotides) under Nanobdellota archaeon. RNAcentral's name for it is "tRNA-Arg". It matches the Rfam family "tRNA". From Rfam's summary of the family: Transfer RNA (tRNA) molecules are approximately 80 nucleotides in length. Their secondary structure includes four short double-helical elements and three loops (D, anti-codon, and T loops). Further hydrogen bonds mediate the characteristic L-shaped molecular structure. tRNAs have two regions of fundamental functional importance: the anti-codon, which is responsible for specific mRNA codon recognition, and the 3' end, to which the tRNAs corresponding amino acid is attached (by aminoacyl-tRNA synthetases). tRNAs cope with the degeneracy of the genetic code in two manners: having more than one tRNA (with a specific anti-codon) for a particular amino acid; and 'wobble' base-pairing, i.e. permitting non-standard base-pairing at the 3rd anti-codon position. Lineage: Archaea; Nanobdellati; Nanobdellota. The record is from RNAcentral.